GAUGAACGCUGGCGGCGUGCCUAAUACAUGCAAGUCGAGCGCGAGAUUGAGGAGCUUGCUCCUCAUGAUCGAGCGGCGGACGGGUGAGUAACACGUAGGCAACCUACCCUUGAGAUUGGGAUAACUACCGGAAACGGUAGCUAAUACCGGAUACGACUUUACUGCAUAAGCAGUUCAGUUAAAAGGCGGAUUUAUCUGCCGCUCAUGGAUGGCCUGCGGUGCAUUAGCUAGUUGGUGAGGUAGUGGCUCACCAAGGCGACGAUGCAUAGCCGACCUGAGAGGGUGAUCGGCCAGACUGGGACUGAGACACGGCCCAGACUCCUACGGGAGGCAGCAGUAGGGAAUCUUCCGCAAUGGACGAAAGUCUGACGGAGCAACGCCGCGUGAGUGAUGAAGGGUUUCGGCUCGUAAAACUCUGUUGUUAAUGAAGAACACUUGAGGUAGUAACUGGCCUUGAGAUGACGGUACUUAACCAGAAAGCCACGGCUAACUACGUGCCAGCAGCCGCCGUAA
RNAcentral lists this ribosomal RNA (513 nucleotides) under uncultured bacterium. RNAcentral's name for it is "partial 16S ribosomal RNA". It matches the Rfam family "Bacterial small subunit ribosomal RNA", at positions 28 to 523 of the family's 1533-position model. The record is from RNAcentral.